AUCCAGAUGACGUGUCCCAAAUAGGAUGAAACGCACGUCCUAGAU
Molecule: non-coding RNA, 45 nt
Organism: Schistosoma mattheei
Lineage: Eukaryota; Metazoa; Platyhelminthes; Trematoda; Strigeidida; Schistosomatidae
Source: Rfam